RNAcentral lists this ribosomal RNA (779 nucleotides) under Alphamenes campanulatus. RNAcentral describes it as "eukaryotic LSU rRNA". It matches the Rfam family "Eukaryotic large subunit ribosomal RNA", at positions 402 to 938 of the family's 3401-position model. The record is from RNAcentral. Lineage: Eukaryota; Metazoa; Arthropoda; Insecta; Hymenoptera; Vespidae.
AAACCGUUCAGGGGUAAACCUGAGAAACCCGAAAGAUCGACUGGGGAGAUUCAGCGACAGCGGCGCUGGCUCGGUGUGGUGGACGAUGUCGUCGACUUCGGUCUCGAUAUUCGUUAUCGCUAUCGCCGCGUCCGGUGUCGUCGUUGUGCACUUCUCCUCUAGUAGAACGUCGCGACCCGUUGGGUGCCGGUCUACGGCCCGAGGUGUAGACUGUCGCGUCGCUUCGGCGCAUGCGACAGACCCUCGGUUGCCUGGCCGGCUGCCCGGCGAUAGAACGUACGGUAUCUGGCCGCAAUUUUCGAAAUGCGUCGGGCCCGCCGCAAGCGAGGCCAGUGUCCCGGAGGUACGGACCUAGUGCCGUCCCCGAGCCUGGUCAGCUGCUGGCAGGCGGAGUCCUCAGACGGGCAAAUCAUAAUGGUACCGGUCGGCGACGCUACUGCUUUGGGUACUCUCAGGACCCGUCUUGAAACACGGACCAAGGAGUCUAACAUGUGCGCGAGUCAUUGGGAUUGUAAAACCUAAAGGCGCAAUGAAAGUGAAGGUCGGCUUUCCGUCGACCGAGGGAGGAUGGGCCGCGUUACGACGCGGCUCCGCACUCCCGGGGCGUCUCGUUCUCGUUACGAGAAGAGGCGCACCCAGAGCGUACACGUUGGGACCCGAAAGAUGGUGAACUAUGCCUGGUCAGGACGAAGUCAGGGGAAACCCUGAUGGAGGUCCGUAGCGAUUCUGACGUGCAAAUCGAUCGUCGGAACUGGGUAUAGGGGCGAAAGACUAAUCGA